This 900-nucleotide long non-coding RNA is filed under the name Androctonus crassicauda. Lineage: Eukaryota; Metazoa; Arthropoda; Arachnida; Scorpiones; Buthidae. The record is from RNAcentral.
AUUUAAUCAUAUUUAGCAUAUUAACAUAAACAAUGCAUCUAGAAUAAAUGUAAAUUGUAAUAUAAUGUUAAUAGGUAUUACUAUCUGAAGAUGGCGCCACUAUCCUAUAGCACUAUCACAUAGCUUACAUCUUUUUAUAGAGUUCCACUUGAACUUCUUGACCCCAUAUUGUUGGCAUGUGGAGGAUUAAAUUUAACUAGAGUUUUCUUUGACACAAAAAUAUCUGUUAAAAUAUUCGUUUUAAUGCUAAUAAUUCUGUUUACUGCAUGCUUUAUUAUAUAUAUUUAUAAAAAAAUAUAUAUAAUUAUUACGCUUAAUUACAAAUUACGAUAAGCUGUAUUUUUCAAUAAAUAUUUCAUUAACAAAAUGUAUGUACUUUUUAUUGAGUGCAUAUUACAUAUACUAUUAGUACUAAUCAGAAGGAUGAAGCCAUAUAGCUGCUGCCCCAUGCCGUGUAUAAGCAUUUGCGUACGCUGUUGUUAUCUUAUAUGGCAUCGACAGAUUGAUUUAAUAAAAGGAACACUUGUUUUCAUAACUUUAUCUGAAUGCUUUCUUUAUGCAAUAAGGUAAUGGGAAUUUAUUGUUAUUUGACAAUUUUUGUUUAUUUUACAAUUUCACUAAUAUCGCUAUAUAUUCUAUAAUUUUUAAGAUAGAAAGGUGCGGUUUUUGCUAAAAUUCAUUACUUGUAAAUACUUUUCAUUUGAUCUAGUCAAAAUUAUUUAUUAAAUUUUUAAUUAUAUAUUAUAUAAUUUGUUACAUUUACUUUUAUAAGUAUAGAAAAUGCAUAAUUGUUAAAAUUUUUCAUUUAAAAUAUGUUGGUUUAGAAAACGAGGGAGCGGCUAAAAUUAAAUGGCACGAUGGCGGCAUCAACCCUAGAACCGGGCCUGUUGUAUGUGAUGA